This is a non-coding RNA of Vicia faba (fava bean), 270 nucleotides long. The record is from the annotation of a GenBank genome assembly. Lineage: Eukaryota; Viridiplantae; Streptophyta; Magnoliopsida; Fabales; Fabaceae.
AUGGCUUUUAAUAACUAUCAAUCUUAUCUUUUAGGAGUUUCAUGCAUUGCUUUGGUCUUAGUUUCAGGAUUGGUUACUGGUUUGAAGACUCCAACAGUCGAGCUUCGCAAAGCAUCCUGCUUUGUAGGGAUGCCUUCAGGGAAAUUAAACUUAUGCUGUUUUGAGGAUUGUUCUCCAAAUUGUCGUCAAGACUGUUUGAAUGCUGGGUAUCAAUUAGGAGGAGGGUGUUUUCAAAUACUUAUUGGACAAAAAUGUUGUUGUUAUAAGUAA